This 253-nucleotide ribosomal RNA is filed under the name uncultured bacterium. Its description in RNAcentral is "partial 16S ribosomal RNA". It matches the Rfam family "Bacterial small subunit ribosomal RNA", at positions 524 to 776 of the family's 1533-position model. The record is from RNAcentral.
UACGUAGGUGGCAAGCGUUGUCCGGAUUUACUGGGCGUAAAGAGCGCGCAGGCGGUCGUUCAAGUCGCGUGUGAAAGCCCCUGGCUCAACCAGGGAGGGUCAUUCGAUACUGUUCGACUCGAAGGCAGGAGAGGGAAGUGGAAUUCCGGGUGUAGUGGUGAAAUGCGUAGAUAUCCGGAGGAACACCAGUGGCGAAGGCGACUUUCUGGCCUGUUCUUGACGCUGAGGCGCGAAAGCUAGGGGAGCAAACGGG